CAUGCCAGUCAGAGCACUCAUUAAGACUGCAAUACUUGAAUAAUGCUUAUCAAAAUGUUCAUGGUAAAACCAACGAUCUUCAUAGUCAACAUCACACAACGCAACAAUAACAACAACAUCAGCCAUCAAUUUAUAGCUGGUCACAUCUCUGAAGACUUCCAAAACUAGGGUGGUGGAUUCCCAUGGUGGUGACGAGGAAUCAGGGUUCGAUUCCGAAGAGGGAGCCUCAGAAAUGGCUACCACAUUCAAGUUAAACGAAGGCAG
RNAcentral lists this ribosomal RNA (264 nucleotides) under Anopheles stephensi (Asian malaria mosquito). Its description in RNAcentral is "eukaryotic small subunit ribosomal RNA". Lineage: Eukaryota; Metazoa; Arthropoda; Insecta; Diptera; Culicidae. The record is from RNAcentral.